CCGUACUUGGAAGAGUUAAGUAGCCUAUGACUCUGGGACCGCCGGCCUUGAAUAAUACCUGCAAAUCUUUGCAUUCUUUCUUAUCCUAAUAGACGGACGUUUUCCUAUUUUUAUAUGCUGUGAACAUUUGAAAUCAUUAUCAAAUUCCACCACACCACAUUGCCACACCGCCAAAUAAAAAAAAAUUGCAAAUUUACAUGAAGCAAUUGCGUCUCGUUGGCAAUGCUUCAAUUCCCAAAAUGGCUGCUUCCAGAGUGAAAAACUCACGUGACAGUUGACAGAUGACCGCGUUUUGAGGAAGAUCUUGCCUUUCUCCACGUGAUCGUUGACGUGUCAUGAAGAUGUGUAUUUGAGAGGGUCUCUACUGCAUUGCAAGACAACUGAUCCUUAGACUUGCUCCAACGGUGAAACUAAGAAGACGUUGCUGAAUUCAAGAUUGAUCAAUAAAUUAUGUAGAUAAAUUACAAGUGCAUAAUCUGGGCUCCCUUCUUCAGUGGCCCCGUUUCCCUAAAUAACCACUAACCAACGCCCGCCGGUGGUCACUCACUCGCUGCGACAACCAGGAGGAAGGGAGAUGUUUGGUCGAACGGGGACUUGCAAGGCGCAUGAUUCGAUGAAAUCUGUUGGAGGGUCAUGAGUCUAAGCCGGAAGCCUACUAUGACACAGUGCUCUCAUAAUAACUGCUCCUCAGCUCUCUUCGCUCUUUUUCCGGUUUCUCUUAACCAUGGCCGGGUAACCUCCCUGGUCGAGUCAGUCGGGCAGCGUCUCCCCCUGCUUGACUGGCAGCAGUUUGUACCGGACGGUUUGUUUAAUAAA
Molecule: long non-coding RNA, 816 nt
Organism: Daphnia pulicaria
Lineage: Eukaryota; Metazoa; Arthropoda; Branchiopoda; Diplostraca; Daphniidae
Exons: 3
Source: RefSeq, a predicted model, not a curated record